Molecule: long non-coding RNA, 248 nt
Filed under: Brassica napus (rape)
Lineage: Eukaryota; Viridiplantae; Streptophyta; Magnoliopsida; Brassicales; Brassicaceae
Description: long non-coding RNA (BNAP_LNC020854)
Source: RNAcentral
GUUUAGGAUUUAGGGUUUAGGGUUUACAGUUUAGGGUUUAGGGUUUAGGAUUUAGGAUUUAGGGUUUAGAGUUGAGAAAUGAGGUUUUGGGGAUAAGAUUUCAAAUUUUGAAAAAUAAAAAGAUUAAAAUUUUCAAAAGAUAAAUCUAGAAAGGUGCUAUUUUGGUCAUUUUAGUUUUUGAGUGCUAUUUUUGUGAUAUAAACUUAGAAAUGUGCUAUUUUGGAGAUCUGUCUUUGCCAGCGUUAACC